This 113-nucleotide small nucleolar RNA is filed under the name Cyclopterus lumpus (lumpfish). Its description in RNAcentral is "Small nucleolar RNA U3 (ENSCLMG00005000476.1)". It matches the Rfam family "Small nucleolar RNA U3". From Rfam's summary of the family: Small nucleolar RNAs (snoRNAs) are involved in the processing and modification of rRNA in the nucleolus. There are two main classes of snoRNAs: the box C/D class, and the box H/ACA class. U3 snoRNA is a member of the box C/D class. Lineage: Eukaryota; Metazoa; Chordata; Actinopteri; Perciformes; Cyclopteridae. The record is from Rfam by way of RNAcentral.
AAGACUAUACUUUCAGGGAUCAUUUCUAUAGUUUUUGACUUGAGAAAUGUGUUUCUAAACUGUUUGGUCUCGCUAACCACGAUGAUGAGAUGUGAUAUUUCCAACUGAGUGCA